Long non-coding RNA from Antechinus flavipes (yellow-footed antechinus), 536 nucleotides. RefSeq lists it as uncharacterized. NCBI's taxonomy places the organism in Eukaryota, Metazoa, Chordata, Mammalia, Dasyuromorphia, Dasyuridae. The record is from RefSeq and is a predicted model, not a curated record. The transcript has 2 exons.
UAUAGAGACAUAGGGUACAGGUGAGUGUUGAAUAUGAAGAAAUAACAUCUUUUAAAAAAAAUGAUGAAAUUAAAGGGUGAGAGAGGAAUGUAUAGGGAGAAAAGGAAAGAAAGAAGUGGAAUGGUGUAAAUUAUCUGCCAUAAAAAAGAGACAAGAAAAAACUUUAUAAUGGAGAGGAAGAAGGGGAGGAGAGCUCCUCUCUUUAUUGACCUAUGGAAAAUUUUCUGAAACCGUCUUCUACAAACCAAUCUUUGGGAUCUACUGAUACUCAAGAUUCUUCAUAGGCUCUCAAGGAACCCAGGCUGAGAAUAUUCUCCAACAGUGAAUGAGCCAGAGAUAUGUAUAUAAGAAGUUCCACAGUUAGAAGAAAUGAGUAGGCUUAGUGUAGGUAUGAAUAAGAACAUUUUUAGAAAGACAAGUUGUUUCAGAAAUAUGAUAAAGUCUUUGAAGGACUAACAUUGGCUUCUUGGGAUGUUACUACAUUAUAUGAGGAACAGAUUCCUAAUGUUAUAAAAGAAACAAUCUUCUUGAAAAUC